This is a long non-coding RNA of Mercenaria mercenaria, 1405 nucleotides long. RefSeq lists it as uncharacterized. The record is from RefSeq and is a predicted model, not a curated record. NCBI's taxonomy places the organism in Eukaryota, Metazoa, Mollusca, Bivalvia, Venerida, Veneridae. The transcript is spliced from 3 exons.
AGCCUCUAAAGUAGCACAAUUUUAUCUGAUAGCUGAACCAAACCUAUAUUUGGAGCCGGGGGGAAAUAAAUGUCAAUGUAGAAACAACCUUCUGGAGUUACUUCCCUCUUAAUGAAGAAAACUGAUAUAUGUACAUAAGAAUAAACAUAGUGACGGGAGCUUAUCUAAAAACAAAAUAUGAAGUUAAAUUUUGAUGUUCGACAUAUUUUGAUAAUUCAAACAAAAGAGUUUUCCGUGGGUCAUUACACAUAGUAACAACAUAAAAUUAUAAUGGUGCCCUGUUUCAUUCAUACCGCAGAUUGCAACCGAAUAUGUAUAAAAACCACAUGCAUGAAGUAUCGGCGUGUCACGUUAACAAUAUCACAAUAGAAACAGCAACCAAAUUUGUAUUACUAUGCCUUUAUUUUAUUCAAUUAAUAUUUUUAAUAGUAUAUGUAUCAAUAUUGAUAUAAAAAGUUCAAUAUCCAGGUAAAAAUUGCAUAAUUCUUCUGAGUUUUUUUUUCUUUUCAAAAUCACGGGGUAGGAACUGUUACACGAGACUCGGUUGUGGAGGAUAUCAUGUUACAGAUUUAGGAUGCUACUGUUACAGUGUUCCUGGAUAACGUUACAGCAUUCGGAGGAUAAUAAUCGCUGUCGGGGUUUUGUUUGCCAAAGAAAUGCCUCCUGUAGAACGCAGAACGUGUGAAUACCAAAGGAAGGUCUGUAGUUCGACUGGUCAUGAGAACAACAACAACGCAAAGCAGAAUUUCCAGUACAAACAGGCAAAAAGAUCAAGGUCGUUCCUUGGACAGAGGAGCAGUUAGCGGCCAUGCGAAGGUCAUUCGCCAAAAAUCUCCGCUGCUUUAGAGUUCCUAACAAGGAGGAAUGCGAACGAGCAAGGAAAAAUGAGAGCCUGUUGCUUUAUCGUGACUGGAAGAACAUCAAAUUUCGUGUCCAUCAUGAAAUACAAAGAUUAAAGAAAAAAAUGAAGUCAGUCUGAAAAAAAAGUUAACAGAAAAAAAAACAUCCGUUAAACUUGCAAUGAAAUCUAACAGACAUACAUUUUCAAAAUGUAAAAAUGUUUAUGUGUUGUUUCUUUUUGACAUAAAGUCCCCAGACACUCGUUCAUGUACAGUAUUGUUUUUGCUGGAUGUUCAUGUUAAAGGCCUAGAUUCACUACUAUAUAAGUGUACCCCCCACCCCAAAUCCAAUAUACAAGUCCCAUCUUAUCUGCUGCUUAUCAGCGAUUAUGUAACAGUAACUGAUUAGAGGGCAAUUAGCACAGCAGGGACCCCAACUAGACCAUGAAGAUGUGUGCAGUGGAGUUGAAAGAAAUUAAUUUUUCUUCAGUGAAUGUGGAAUGAUGAUAAUAAUAACUAUUAUUUUGAUAUUAUAUAGAUGAUAAUAACUAUUACUUUAAUGUUAU